GACGGGGGGUCCUAGCGUUGUUCGGAAUCAUUGGGCGUAAAGGGUGUGCAGGUGGUUCUGUAAGUUAGAUGUGAAAUCCUUGGGCUUAACCCAAGAAGUGCAUUUAAAACUACAAAACUUGAGUAUGGAAGAGGGUCGUGGAAUUCUUGGUGUAGUGGUGAAAUACGUAGAUAUCAAGAGGAACACCGGUGGCGAAGGCGGCGACCUGGUCCUAUACUGACACUCAUACACGAAAGCGUGGGGAGCAAACAGG
This 253-nucleotide ribosomal RNA is filed under the name uncultured bacterium. RNAcentral describes it as "partial 16S ribosomal RNA". It matches the Rfam family "Bacterial small subunit ribosomal RNA", at positions 524 to 776 of the family's 1533-position model. The record is from RNAcentral.